This 29-nucleotide non-coding RNA is filed under the name Homo sapiens (human). The record is from RNAcentral. Lineage: Eukaryota; Metazoa; Chordata; Mammalia; Primates; Hominidae.
ACCCAUCAGAUGUUGUCGCAGGGCCAGGU